GAUGAACGCUGGCGGCGUGCCUAACACAUGCAAGUCGAACGGAGCUUGAGGGAAGAAGACUUCGGUCAACGGACCAAAAGCUUAGUGGCGGAUGGGUGAGUAACACGUGAGCAACCUGCCUUGUACAGUGGAAUAACAACGGGAAACCGUUGCUAAUACCGCAUAACAUACCGAAGAGGCAUCUUAUUGGUAUCAAAGGAGCAAUCCGGUACAAGAUGGGCUCGCGUCCGAUUAGAUAGUUGGAGAGGUAACGGCUCCCCAAGUCGACGAUCGGUAGCCGGACUGAGAGGUUGAACGGCCACAUUGGGACUGAGACACGGCCCAG
This 325-nucleotide ribosomal RNA is filed under the name uncultured bacterium. Its description in RNAcentral is "bacterial SSU rRNA". It matches the Rfam family "Bacterial small subunit ribosomal RNA", at positions 28 to 334 of the family's 1533-position model. The record is from RNAcentral.